GCCAACGGCCAUACCAUGUUGGAUACACCGGUUCUCGACCGAUCACCGAAGUUAGGCAACACGGGCGUGGUCAGUACCUGGAUGGGUGACCGCCUGAGGACUGUUGGCACUUUAGGGC
Molecule: ribosomal RNA, 118 nt
Filed under: Rhodnius prolixus
Lineage: Eukaryota; Metazoa; Arthropoda; Insecta; Hemiptera; Reduviidae
Source: RNAcentral